AUGUUGCAGGAGGAUGGGGGUAUUGAUGAAGAUGUGAACCAUCGAAUCAAAGCCGGAUGGACGAAGUGGCACCAAGCUUUUGGAAUUCGCUGUGACAAGAGAGUGCCACAAAAGCUAAAAGGCAAGUUCUACAGGACGACGGUUCGACCCGCAAUGUUGUAUGGCGCUGAGUGCUGGCUGACUAAAAGGCGACAUGUUCAACAGCUAGGGGUGGCGGAGAUGCGUAUGUUGAGAUGGAUGUGUGGCCACACGAGGAAGGAUCGAGUCCGGAAUAAUGAUAUACGAGAUAGAGUUGGGGUAGCACCAAUUGAAGAGAAGCUUGUCCAACAUCGUCUGAGAUGGUUUGGGCAUAUUCAGUGCAGGCCUCCAGAAGCUCCAGUGCAUAGCGGACGACUAAAGCGUGCGCAAAAUGUCAAGAGAGGGCGGGGUAAACCGAAUUUGACAUGGGAGGAGUCCGUUAAGAGAGCCCUGAAGGAUUGGAGUAUCACCAAAGAACUAGCUAUGGACAAGGGUGCGUGGAAGCUUGCUAUCCAUGUGCCAGAGUGUUAUGACCGGGGUAACUUAUACCCGGAGGAGGCCCACUGGGCAGGUUUAGUUAGGGGCUUAGCCCAAAAGUUAACUUAUUUUUAUUAG
This 633-nucleotide ribosomal RNA is filed under the name Triticum aestivum (bread wheat). RNAcentral's name for it is "partial small subunit ribosomal RNA". The record is from RNAcentral. Lineage: Eukaryota; Viridiplantae; Streptophyta; Magnoliopsida; Poales; Poaceae.